This 253-nucleotide ribosomal RNA is filed under the name uncultured bacterium. RNAcentral's name for it is "partial 16S ribosomal RNA". It matches the Rfam family "Bacterial small subunit ribosomal RNA", at positions 524 to 776 of the family's 1533-position model. The record is from RNAcentral.
UACAGGGGGGGCAAGCGUUGUUCGGAAUUACUGGGCGUAAAGGGUUUGUAGGUGGCUUGCUCAGUCAGACGUGAAAUCCCUCAGCUUAACUGGGGAACUGCGUCUGAUACUAGCGAGCUUGAGUGCAGGAGAGGAACGCGGAAUUCCAGGUGUAGCGGUGAAAUGCGUAGAUAUCUGGAGGAACACCGGUGGCGAAGGCGGCGUUCUGGACUGCAACUGACACUGAAAAACGAAAGCCAGGGGAGCAAACGGG